AUCCAAAGUGUUUAUUUCAGAGUUCAGGGCAGCUCCCCAUGUUCUGUUAAUUAAAGUUUGGGACAUUGAAACAGGUUAGGGAAGAUGUUGGAUAGAAAGUAUUACUCUAUUCAUUUACUUCCCAGCCUGCCAAA
Molecule: small nucleolar RNA, 134 nt
Organism: Rhinolophus ferrumequinum (greater horseshoe bat)
Lineage: Eukaryota; Metazoa; Chordata; Mammalia; Chiroptera; Rhinolophidae
Source: Ensembl